Molecule: ribosomal RNA, 253 nt
Filed under: uncultured bacterium
Lineage: Bacteria
Description: partial 16S ribosomal RNA
Rfam family: Bacterial small subunit ribosomal RNA
Source: RNAcentral
UACGGGGGGGGCAAGCGUUGUUCGGAAUUACUGGGCGUAAAGGGCUCGUAGGUGGCCAACUAAGUCAGACGUGAAAUCCCUCGGCUUAACCGGGGAACUGCGUCUGAUACUGGAAGGCUUGAGGAUGGGAGAGGGAUGUAGAAUUCCAGGUGUAGCGGUGAAAUGCGUAGAUAUCUGGAGGAACACCGGUGGCGAAGGCGACAUCCUGGACCGGUAUUGACGCUGAGGCGCGAACGCCAGGGGAGCAAACGGG